RNAcentral lists this ribosomal RNA (460 nucleotides) under uncultured bacterium. RNAcentral's name for it is "partial 16S ribosomal RNA". It matches the Rfam family "Bacterial small subunit ribosomal RNA", at positions 338 to 795 of the family's 1533-position model. The record is from RNAcentral.
CCUACGGGGGGCUGCAGUGAGGAAUAUUGGUCAAUGGACGAGAGUCUGAACCAGCCAAGUAGCGUGAAGGAUGACUGCCCUAUGGGUUGUAAACUUCUUUUAUAAAGGAAUAAAACGAGGCACGUGUGCCUUUUUGCAUGUACUUUAUGAAUAAGGAUCGGCUAACUCCGUGCCAGCAGCCGCGGUAAUACGGAGGAUCCGAGCGUUAUCCGGAUUUAUUGGGUUUAAAGGGAGCGUAGAUGGGUUGUUAAGUCAGUUGUGAAAGUUUGGGGCUCAACCGUAAAAUUGCAAUUGAUACUGGAAGUCUUGAGUACAGUUGAGGUAGGCGGAAUUCGGGGUGUAGCGGUGAAAUGCUUAGAUAUCACGAAGAACCCCGAUUGCGAAGGCAGAUUACUAAACUGUGACUGACAUUGAUGCUCGAAAGUGUGGGUAUCAAACAGGAUUAGAUACCCUAGUAGUC